Molecule: unclassified non-coding RNA, 2630 nt
Filed under: Hevea brasiliensis (rubber tree)
Lineage: Eukaryota; Viridiplantae; Streptophyta; Magnoliopsida; Malpighiales; Euphorbiaceae
Source: RNAcentral
GCUUAUUCUGUUUCUCUCAACCCUUACCAAUGGCGUCCACGAAACGCGAGUUCCAACCUGAAGACGAACCGGAAUCUGAACAACCUGAGUCCAAAAGGAUAAGGUCUGAUGCUGAUGGUUCGGAUUCUCCAAAAACACAGCCUUGCAGGAACUCCGUGGUUCUCAAUCACGCUGAUUGCAACUUAGAUUUCGACAUUGGAAAUGCUGGUCUUAAAGGUUCUGCCCUUCAUGAGGAGGGGUUUGCUUAUUGCUGGUCUGGUGCUCGUGCAAAUUUUGGAAUCACUGGGGGAAAGUAUUGUUUUGGUUGUAAAGUCGUCUCAGCUCAGCCUGUUAAUAUGGAAGACACACCCCAAGAUCAGCAGCAUGUCUGUCGUGUUGGUAUUUCUAGAGGAGAUGAUGCAGUAGGAAACCUUGGGGAGACUCAGCACAGCUUUGGUCUUGGGGGAACAGGAAAAUUUUCUACUGCUGGAAAAUUUUCGGAUUAUGGUGAAAAGUUUGGGGUUGGAGAUACAAUUGUCUGUGCGGUAGAUCUUGAAAGGAAACCAUUGGCUUCCAUAGGCUUCUCCAAGAAUGGAAAAUGGUUGGGCAUUGCAAAGGAAUUUGAUGCUGGUCCAAGGGGUCUUGGAGUGGUGGAUUCUGCCAUGAAAGAGCUACAAUGGGAAUCAGCCCUCUUUCCUCAUGUUCUAUUAAAGAAUGUUGUGGUUCAAUUGCAUUUUAGCGCUGAAGAUGGACUUGUUCCUGAAGAAGGGUAUAAACCUUGGGUUUCAGCUCUUGAAGAUGGAAAUGCAAUAAAAGGACCUGUUUUCCCUGAUGUAAGGGAUUGUGAAGUAAUGAUGAUGGUGGGUUUACCCGCUUCGGGUAAGACAACAUGGGCAGAUAAAUGGGUGAAAGAACAUCCCGAAAAGCGUUACGUUUUGCUUGGAACAAACCUGAUUCUGGAUCAGAUGAAGGUUCCUGGGCUAGUGCGCAAGAACAAUUAUGGUGAACGAUUUGAUCGCCUGAUGAGUCGAGCAAAUGCAAUAUUUGAUAUCCUACUGUCCAGGGCUGCCAGAACUCCUCGCAACUAUGUUAUUGAUCAAACUAAUGUUUUCAAGAGUGCACGCAAACGUAAAUUGAGACCCUUUGCAAAUUUCCGCAAGGUGCUUGCACAAUGAUAUCAUUCCUGUUAUUUAUAAAAGGAUAAUUUCACCUAUUGAUUUGAUUUUCAUAUGACAAAUCAGGUUGCUGUUGUGGUAUUUCCAAAACCAGAGGAGCAGAAAUUUCGUGCGGAUAAAAGAUAUAAAGAAAUGGGAAAGGAAGUUCCAGCUGAUGCUGUGAACAAUAUGUUAGCUAAUUAUGUUCUGCCCAAGAGCAAGGAUAUGCCUGGUUCAGAUGAAUUUUUUGAUCAGGUAAUAUUUGCUGAACUGGGUCAAGUAGAAUCACAGAGAUAUUUAGAGGAGAUGAAGCAUGGUCUAAAUACCAACUCUGCACCAUAUUACGAGGAAACUUUUGUUGCUUCAUCAGUGGGGCAGCCUUCAGUGCAAAAUCAAGGAGUUGGUGGACAUUGGGAAAGUUCUCAUCCUCCUCCUGCGUUGGGUCUACCUCAUUUGCUGAACUAUGGGUACCGAAUUACAAACCAACAGGAGAAGACACUACAUCAAGGACAAGGUUCUUUUUCUAGGGCACACCAAAGCUAUCAGUAUCCCUCUGUACCUAGAGCACCUGCACCUUAUAGUUCUUAUGAAAGUUUUGUUCCACCACACAAUGGGAACUCCGGAAGUUCUGGUGCUAUUCCUGGAUGUAGAAACGACCCAUACCAGAGCUAUAGGGCUGUUGACCCGUACAGCGGACGAAACCUUGAUGUCAAGAAUACUACGUUUGACCCUUAUAGGAGUACUGUGGUUGAAGCCUCCCCCGUUGGAACUAUGAGGCCGUCUUCAUUUACAUACAAUACUGCUGGAGGUCCUCAAAGUGUGCGGGCUCCCAUUGCACCCUCAUAUGGUCCUGGUGCUUGCCCUCCUUAUGGUAGUUACUCCAACAAUCUUUGACAUAUAGAUGUGCAUAUAUUUGUUCCCAAAAAAGGGAGCUGAUACCUUGGCAGUUGCAAUGAGGGCGUGACAAUGUGAAUCUUUUAAGCCAUUUGUGGAAUGGUCAACAUUUGGAUCUCGUUACUGUGUGUGGAACUGUAAUCAGCCUUUUUGUAUUGCAACUGGCAAGCUAAAAACUUCUCUCUUAAGAGAUAACAAAUCCUAGACUUGCAGAUUUCCGAUAUAACAGCAUUCUAGAUUUCUAGUGAUGAUUGAUAUUUUGGUUUAUUGUUUGCUUUUUAUUGGCUGUUGUCUUCUGAAUUUUUUAUUGGUUGCUUCAGGUUCACAUUAUGGAACUAAUCCUCGGCCAAUGUCUUCAUUCUCAACUCCCUCACCAAGACCCUCGAAUGGAAAUUUUCCAGGUGUUGUGCAGCAUCCUGAGGGAUAUAACCCUCCUUGUACAAGGUACUACUAAUUGGUGUGAAGUUUUUCUUUGCCAUUCUUCAGAGCUUCAGAAGAUAGAGAUUGCACUUAAAUCUCUCAAAAAUUAGAAAGCUUGAAGGACAAGUUGCAUCUCUGGAUUGUGUAAAUAUGGCCUUAAUGACACUUUUUUUUUUGUUUGUU